CAAUAGCGUAUAUUAAAGUUGUUGCAGUUAAAAAGCUCGUAGUUGGAUUUCUGGUCGGAAGCUCCUGUCCUCUGAUGAGCGUACAAGUGCGUCCUACCAUCCUUCUGUUAACCUUUAAGGCUUUCGCGGCUUUCUAGGGGCUCAGAUAUUUUACCUUGAGAAAAUUAGAGUGUUUCAGGCAGGCUAGCGCCGGAAUACAUUAGCAUGGAAUAAUGGAAUAGGACUUUUGCCUCUCCUGUUGGUCAUGAGGCUCGAGUAAUGAUUAAUAGGGAUAGUUGGGGGCAUUAGUACUUAACUGUCAGAGGUGAAAUUCUCGGAUUUGUUAAAGACUAACUUAUGCGAAAGCAUUUGCCAAGGAUGUUUUCAUUAA
RNAcentral lists this ribosomal RNA (370 nucleotides) under uncultured eukaryote. RNAcentral describes it as "partial 18S ribosomal RNA". It matches the Rfam family "Eukaryotic small subunit ribosomal RNA", at positions 592 to 976 of the family's 1831-position model. The record is from RNAcentral.